This 483-nucleotide ribosomal RNA is filed under the name uncultured bacterium. RNAcentral's name for it is "partial 16S ribosomal RNA". It matches the Rfam family "Bacterial small subunit ribosomal RNA", at positions 29 to 506 of the family's 1533-position model. The record is from RNAcentral.
AUUGAACGCUGGCGGCAUGCUUUACACAUGCAAGUCGAACGGCAGCGCGGGCUUCGGCCUGGCGGCGAGUGGCGAACGGGUGAGUAAUACAUCGGAACGUGCCCAGUAGUGGGGGAUAGCUCGGCGAAAGCCGGAUUAAUACCGCAUACGACCUGAGGGUGAAAGCGGGGGAUCUUCGGACCUCGCGCUAUUGGCGCGGCCGAUGGCAGAUUAGCUAGUUGGUGGGGUAAAGGCCUACCAAGGCGACGAUCUGUAGCUGGUCUGAGAGGACGACCAGCCACACUGGGACUGAGACACGGCCCAGACUCCUACGGGAGGCAGCAGUGGGGAAUUUUGGACAAUGGGCGAAAGCCUGCUCCAGCAAUGCCGCGUGUGUGAUGAAGGCCUUCGGGUUGUAAAGCACUUUUGGCGGGAACGAAAAGGACUGUGCCAAUACCACGGUUCGAUGACGGUACCCGCAGAAUAAGCACCGGCUAACUACGU